UAGUGGCGAACGGGUGAGUAACACGUGGGCAAUCUGCCCUGCACUCUGGGACAAGCCCUGGAAACGGGGUCUAAUACCGGAUAAUACUUCCUGGGGCAUCCUGGGGGGUUGAAAGCUCCGGCGGUGCAGGAUGAGCCCGCGGCCUAUCAGCUUGUUGGUGGGGUGAUGGCCUACCAAGGCGACGACGGGUAGCCGGCCUGAGAGGGCGACCGGCCACACUGGGACUGAGACACGGCCCAGACUCCUACGGGAGGCAGCAGUGGGGAAUAUUGCACAAUGGGCGGAAGCCUGAUGCAGCGACGCCGCGUGGGGGAUGACGGCCUUCGGGUUGUAAACCUCUUUCAGCAGGGAAGAAGCGUGAGUGACGGUACCUGCAGAAGAAGCGCCGGCUAACUACGUGCCAGCAGCCGCGGUAAUACGUAGGGCGCAAGCGUUGUCCCGGAUUUAUUGGGCGUAAAGAGCUCGUAGGCGGCUUGUUACGUCGGUUGUGAAAGCCCNGGGCUCAACCCCCGGGUCUGCAGUCGAUACGGGCAGGCUGGAGUGUGGUAGGGGGAGAUCGGAUUUCU
RNAcentral lists this ribosomal RNA (566 nucleotides) under Streptomyces sp. 413F09. RNAcentral describes it as "bacterial SSU rRNA". It matches the Rfam family "Bacterial small subunit ribosomal RNA", at positions 93 to 671 of the family's 1533-position model. The record is from RNAcentral. Lineage: Bacteria; Bacillati; Actinomycetota; Actinomycetes; Kitasatosporales; Streptomycetaceae.